GGCCUAACACAUGCAGUCGAACGGUAACAGGAAGCAGCUUGCUGCUUUGCUGACGAGUGGCGGACGGGUGAGUAAUGUCUGGGAAACUGCCUGAUGGAGGGGGAUAACUACUGGAAACGGUAGCUAAUACCGCAUAACGUCGCAAGACCAAAGAGGGGGACCUUCGGGCCUCUUGCCAUCGGAUGUGCCCAGAUGGGAUUAGCUUGUAGGUGGGGUAACGGCUCACCUAGGCGACGAUCCCUAGCUGGUCUGAGAGGAUGACCAGCCACACUGGAACUGAGACACGGUCCAGACUCCUACGGGAGGCAGCAGUGGGGAAUAUUGCACAAUGGGCGCAAGCCUGAUGCAGCCAUGCCGCGUGUAUGAAGAAGGCCUUCGGGUUGUAAAGUACUUUCAGCGGGGAGGAAGGGGAGUAAAGUUAAUACCUUUGCUCAUUGACGUUACCCGCAGAAGAAGCACCGGCUAACUCCGUGCCAGCAGCCGGUUAAAAUAA
Molecule: ribosomal RNA, 493 nt
Filed under: Shigella sp. BAB-625
Lineage: Bacteria; Pseudomonadati; Pseudomonadota; Gammaproteobacteria; Enterobacterales; Enterobacteriaceae
Description: bacterial SSU rRNA
Rfam family: Bacterial small subunit ribosomal RNA
Source: RNAcentral